ACGGAAGGCAGCAGUGGGGAAUAUUGGGCAAUGGGCGAAAGCCUGACCCAGCGACGCCGCGUGAGGGAAGAAGGUCUUCGGAUUGUAAACCUUUGUCAACAGGGACGAAAGCAAUGACGGUACCUGUGGAGGAAGCCACGGCUAACUACGUGCCAGCAGCCGCGGUAAUACGUAGGUGGCGAGCGUUAUCCGGAUUUACUGGGUGUAAAGGGUGUGUAGGCGGGAAAGCAAGUCAGAUGUGAAAACUAUGGGCUCAACUCAUAGCCUGCAUUUGAAACUGUUUUUCUCGAGAGUGGGAGGGGUAAAUAGAAUUCCCGGUGUAGCGGUGAAAUGCGUAGGUAUCGGGAGGAAUACCGGUGGCGAAGGCGAUUUACUGACCCAUUACUGACGCUGAGACACGAAAGCGUGGGGAGCAAACAGGAUUAGAUACCCUGGUA
Molecule: ribosomal RNA, 437 nt
Filed under: uncultured Oscillospiraceae bacterium
Lineage: Bacteria; Bacillati; Bacillota; Clostridia; Eubacteriales; Oscillospiraceae
Description: bacterial SSU rRNA
Rfam family: Bacterial small subunit ribosomal RNA
Source: RNAcentral